CUUGUGGAUGUCCACUGGCGUCUCCUUGGAUUACUUCGAUGGGGUCUACCUCCAUGGAUUCCAUCUGCACAGCAAGAAUUCAGGGUAACCACAUGGCUCUUCGGCUGAAGACAAACCAGAAUACGUUCAUGUACAAACAACCUAGGACCCACUUCCACGCACAAGUGCCAGAAAGUCAGGGAAAUGAUCACAGGGCUCGAAUCUCCCGGCGCCACUCCAUUCUGCCCGCCUCAUCCUGCUGUGACGCCCUCAUUCCGAGAUCGUUUAUUGUGAAGAUGAGCGACGUGCUACACUUUACAGCAGUUUCCAAAUUCCCUCACCCCACAUUUCCCACAUCAGCGUGUGUGAACAUGACCGUCUUCUGUUAUCAUGAU
This is a long non-coding RNA of Cynoglossus semilaevis (tongue sole), 374 nucleotides long. RefSeq lists it as uncharacterized. The record is from RefSeq and is a predicted model, not a curated record. The transcript is spliced from 2 exons. NCBI's taxonomy places the organism in Eukaryota, Metazoa, Chordata, Actinopteri, Pleuronectiformes, Cynoglossidae.